GACGGAGGGUGCAAGCGUUAUCCGGAUUCACUGGGUUUAAAGGGUGCGUAGGAGGGCAGUUAAGUCAGAGGUCAAAUCUCCGAGCUUAACUCGGAAACUGCCGUUGAUACUAUCUUUCUUGAAUACCGUGGAGGUGAGCGGAAUAUGUCAUGUAGCGGUGAAAUGCUUAGAUAUGACAUAGAACACCAAUUGCGAAGGCAGCUCGCUACACGAAUAUUGACUCUGAGGCACGAAAGCGUGGGGAUCAAACAGG
RNAcentral lists this ribosomal RNA (253 nucleotides) under uncultured bacterium. RNAcentral's name for it is "partial 16S ribosomal RNA". It matches the Rfam family "Bacterial small subunit ribosomal RNA", at positions 524 to 776 of the family's 1533-position model. The record is from RNAcentral.